RNAcentral lists this ribosomal RNA (253 nucleotides) under uncultured bacterium. RNAcentral describes it as "partial 16S ribosomal RNA". It matches the Rfam family "Bacterial small subunit ribosomal RNA", at positions 524 to 776 of the family's 1533-position model. The record is from RNAcentral.
UACGAAGGGGGCUAGCGUUGCUCGGAAUUACUGGGCGUAAAGGGCUCGUAGGUGGCCAACUAAGUCAGACGUGAAAUCCCUCGGCUUAACCGGGGAACUGCAUCUGAUACUGGAUGGCUUGAGAUUGGGAGAGGGAUGCGGAAUUCCAGGUGUAGCGGUGAAAUGCGUAGAUAUCUGGAGGAACACCGGUGGCGAAGGCGGCAUCCUGGACCAACACUGACGCUGAGGAGCGAAAGCCAGGGGAGCAAACGGG